Molecule: ribosomal RNA, 547 nt
Filed under: uncultured Glomeromycotina
Lineage: Eukaryota; Fungi; Glomeromycota
Description: SSU rRNA
Rfam family: Eukaryotic small subunit ribosomal RNA
Source: RNAcentral
UUGGAGGGCAAGUCUGGUGCCAGCAGCCGCGGUAAUUCCAGCUCCAAUAGCGUAUAUUAAAGUUGUUGCAGUUAAAAAGCUCGUAGUUGAAUUUCGGGAUCAAUUUAUCGGUCGUGCCUCUGGUAUGCACUGGUAUUAUUGAUUUCUACCUUCUGACGAACCAUGAUGUCAUUAAUUUGGUGUCAUGGGGAAUCAGGACUGUUACUUUGAAAAAAUUAGAGUGUUUAAAGCAAGCACACGCUUGAAUACAUUAGCAUGGAAUAAUGAAAUAGGACGUUUGACCCUAUUUUGUUGGUUUCUAGGAUCGACGUAAUGAUUAAUAGGGAUAGUUGGGGGCAUUAGUAUUCAAUUGUCAGAGGUGAAAUUCUUGGAUUUAUUGAAGACUAACUACUGCGAAAGCAUUUGCCAAGGAUGUUUUCAUUAAUCAAGAACGAAAGUUAGGGGAUCGAAGACGAUCAGAUACCGUCGUAGUCUUAACCAUAAACUAUGCCGACUAGGGAUCGGAUGAUGUUAUUUUUAAUGACUCAUUCGGCGCCUUACGGGAAAC